This 301-nucleotide ribosomal RNA is filed under the name uncultured bacterium. Its description in RNAcentral is "partial 16S ribosomal RNA". It matches the Rfam family "Bacterial small subunit ribosomal RNA", at positions 509 to 808 of the family's 1533-position model. The record is from RNAcentral.
CAGCCGCCGCGGGAAUACGAAGGGUGCAAGCGUUAAUCGGAAUUACUGGGCGUAAAGCGUGCGUAGGCGGUGAGUUAAGUCUGCUGUGAAAUCCCCGGGCUCAACCUGGGAAUGGCAGUGGAUACUGGCUCGCUAGAGUGUGUCAGAGGAUGGUGGAAUUCCCGGUGUAGCGGUGAAAUGCGUAGAGAUCGGGAGGAACAUCAGUGGCGAAGGCGGCCAUCUGGGACAACACUGACACUGAGGCACGAAAGCGUGGGGAGCAAACAGGAUUAGAUACCCCUGUAGUCCCGUCUCUUAUACA